UUAUGCGAUACUUGGUGUGAAUUGCAGAAUCCCGUGAACCAUCGAGUCUUUGAACGCAAGUUGCGCCCGAAGCCCUCGGGCCGAGGGCACGCCUGCCUGGGCGUCACGC
RNAcentral lists this ribosomal RNA (109 nucleotides) under Pseuderanthemum graciliflorum. RNAcentral's name for it is "partial 5.8S ribosomal RNA". It matches the Rfam family "5.8S ribosomal RNA", at positions 51 to 154 of the family's 154-position model. From Rfam's summary of the family: 5.8S ribosomal RNA (5.8S rRNA) is a component of the large subunit of the eukaryotic ribosome. The record is from RNAcentral. Lineage: Eukaryota; Viridiplantae; Streptophyta; Magnoliopsida; Lamiales; Acanthaceae.